RNAcentral lists this ribosomal RNA (490 nucleotides) under Enterococcus casseliflavus. RNAcentral's name for it is "bacterial SSU rRNA". It matches the Rfam family "Bacterial small subunit ribosomal RNA", at positions 28 to 492 of the family's 1533-position model. Lineage: Bacteria; Bacillati; Bacillota; Bacilli; Lactobacillales; Enterococcaceae. The record is from RNAcentral.
GACGAACGCUGGCGGCGUGCCUAAUACAUGCAAGUCGAACGCUUUUUCUUUCACCGGAGCUUGCUCCACCGAAAGAAAAAGAGUGGCGAACGGGUGAGUAACACGUGGGUAACCUGCCCAUCAGAAGGGGAUAACACUUGGAAACAGGUACUAAUACCGUAUAACACUAUUUUCCGCAUGGAAGAAAGUUGAAAGGCGCUUUUGCGUCACUGAUGGAUGGACCCGCGGUGCAUUAGCUAGUUGGUGAGGUAACGGCUCACCAAGGCAACGAUGCAUAGCCGACCUGAGAGGGUGAUCGGCCACACUGGGACUGAGACACGGCCCAGACUCCUACGGGAGGCAGCAGUAGGGAAUCUUCGGCAAUGGACGAAAGUCUGACCGAGCAACGCCGCGUGAGUGAAGAAGGUUUUCGGAUCGUAAAACUCUGUUGUUAGAGAAGAACAAGGAUGAGAGUAUUUUUUUCAUCCCGGGGCGGUAUCUACCAGAAGCC